AUGAUCCCAUGGCUGAAUUUGUUGUCCUUGUUAGUGUUCCUUCAAGGAGUCCCGUCUCAAGUCCAGCUGGUGGAGUCUGGAGGGGAUGUGAAAAGACCUGGAGAUUCCCUCCGUCUCUCCUGCCAAGCCUCUGGAUUCACCUUCAGCGACUAUGCCAUGAGCUGGGUGAGACAGUAUCCAGGAAAAGGCCUGGAAUGGGUGGCCUACAUAAGUACAUACUCAACUCCAAUUUACUACUCAGACAAAGUCAAGGGACGCUUCACCAUCUCCAGGGAUGAUUCCCGCAGCCAGAUCUAUCUUCAAAUGAACAAUCUUAAACCAGAGGACACAGCUGUCUAUUAUUGUGCAAGACGCACAGUGAGAGGAAGUGAAUCUGAUGCCAAGCAAAAACCUUCUCCUCCUCUGAGAAACUUUCGAAAUUGAUUCAGAAAGUC
Molecule: non-coding RNA, 434 nt
Organism: Thamnophis sirtalis
Lineage: Eukaryota; Metazoa; Chordata; Lepidosauria; Squamata; Natricidae
Source: the annotation of a RefSeq genome assembly